Molecule: transfer RNA, 72 nt
Filed under: Camelus bactrianus (Bactrian camel)
Lineage: Eukaryota; Metazoa; Chordata; Mammalia; Artiodactyla; Camelidae
Also listed under: 2 other names
Rfam family: tRNA
About the family: Transfer RNA (tRNA) molecules are approximately 80 nucleotides in length.
Source: Rfam by way of RNAcentral
GUGGGAAUAGCUCAGCAGUAGAGUGCAUGCUUAGCAUACACAAGGUCCUGGGUUAAAUCCCCAGUACCUGCG